RNAcentral lists this ribosomal RNA (1001 nucleotides) under uncultured Actinomycetes bacterium. RNAcentral describes it as "bacterial SSU rRNA". It matches the Rfam family "Bacterial small subunit ribosomal RNA", at positions 8 to 1022 of the family's 1533-position model. Lineage: Bacteria; Bacillati; Actinomycetota; Actinomycetes. The record is from RNAcentral.
AGAGUUUGAUCCUGGCUCAGGACGAACGCUGGCGGCGUGCUUUAUACAUGCAAGUCGAACGAUGAAGUUCCUUCGGGAAUGGAUUAGUGGCGAACGGGUGAGGAACACGUGAGAAACCUGCCUUUCAUUCUGGGAUAACACCGGGAAACCGGCGCUAAUACCGGAUACUCCGUCUUGGCGGCAUCGCCGAGCCGGGAAAAAAUUUUGAUGAAAGAUGGUCUCGCGGUCUAUCAGCUAGUUGGUGAGGUAAUGGCUCACCAAGGCGACGACGGGUAGCCGGCCUGAGAGGGCGACCGGCCACACUGGGACUGAGACACGGCCCAGACUCCUACGGGAGGCAGCAGUAGGGAAUAUUGGGCAAUGGGCGCAAGCCUGACCCAGCGACGCCGCGUGAGGGAUGAAGGUCUUCGGAUUGUAAACCUCUUUCAGUAGGGAAGAAGCGAAAGUGACGGUACCUAAAGAAGAAGCACCGGCUAACUAUGUGCCAGCAGCCGCGGUAAUACAUAGGGUGCAAGCGUUGUCCGGAAUUAUUGGGCGUAAAGAGCUCGUAGGUCGUUUGUCGCGUCGAUUGUGAAAAUCUGAGGCUCAACCUCAGACCUGCAGUCGAUACGGGCAAACUAGAGUGUGGUAGGGGAGACUGGAAUUCCUGGUGUAGCGGUGGAAUGCGCAGAUAUCAGGAGGAACACCAAUGGCGAAGGCAGGUCUCUGGGCCAUAACUGACACUGAGGAGCGAAAGUGCGGGGAGCGAACAGGAUUAGAUACCCUGGUAGUCCGCACCGUAAACGGUGGGCACUAGUUGUGGGAACCUUCCACGGUUUCCGCGACGCAGCAAACGCAUUAAGUGCCCCGCCUGGGGAGUACGAUCGCAAGAUUAAAACUCAAAGGAAUUGACGGGGCCCCGCACAAGCAGCGGAGCAUGCGGCUUAAUUCGACGCAACGCGAAGAACCUUACCAAGGCUUGACAUAUAGCGAAAAGUGGCAGAGAUGUCAUGUCCGCAAGG